GAGGAGCUUGCUCUUCUGGAUGAGUUGCGAACGGGUGAGUAACGCGUAGGUAACCUGCCUGGUAGCGGGGGAUAACUAUUGGAAACGAUAGCUAAUACCGCAUAACAGCAAAUGUUGCAUGACAUUUGCUUAAAAGAUGCAAUUGCAUCACUACCAGAUGGACCUGCGUUGUAUUAGCUAGUUGGUGGGGUAACGGCUCACCAAGGCGACGAUACAUAGCCGACCUGAGAGGGUGAUCGGCCACACUGGGACUGAGACACGGCCCAGACUCCUACGGGAGGCAGCAGUAGGGAAUCUUCGGCAAUGGACGGAAGUCUGACCGAGCAACGCCGCGUGAGUGAAGAAGGUUUUCGGAUCGUAAAGCUCUGUUGUAAGAGAAGAACGAGUGUGAGAGUGGAAAGUUCACACUGUGACGGUAUCUUACCAGAAAGGGACGGCUAACUACGUGCCAGCAGCCGCGGUAAUACGUAGGUCCCGAGCGUUGUCCGGAUUUAUUGGGCGUAAAGCGAGCGCAGGCGGUUAGAUAAGUCUGAAGUUAAAGGCUGUGGCUUAACCAUAGUACGCUUUGGAAACUGUUUAACUUGAGUGCAAGAGGGGAGAGUGGAAUUCCAUGGGUUA
This 618-nucleotide ribosomal RNA is filed under the name bacterium. Its description in RNAcentral is "bacterial SSU rRNA". It matches the Rfam family "Bacterial small subunit ribosomal RNA", at positions 73 to 678 of the family's 1533-position model. The record is from RNAcentral.